GGCCCCAUCGUCUAGCGGUUAGGACACCGGCCUCUCACGCCGGGAACGGGGGUUCAAUUCCCCCUGGGGUCA
This 72-nucleotide transfer RNA is filed under the name Candidatus Nitronauta litoralis. RNAcentral's name for it is "tRNA-Glu". It matches the Rfam family "tRNA". Rfam says of the family: Transfer RNA (tRNA) molecules are approximately 80 nucleotides in length. Their secondary structure includes four short double-helical elements and three loops (D, anti-codon, and T loops). The record is from RNAcentral. Lineage: Bacteria; Pseudomonadati; Nitrospinota; Nitrospinia; Nitrospinales; Nitrospinaceae.